Molecule: ribosomal RNA, 253 nt
Filed under: uncultured bacterium
Lineage: Bacteria
Description: partial 16S ribosomal RNA
Rfam family: Bacterial small subunit ribosomal RNA
Source: RNAcentral
UACAGAGGUGGCAAGCGUUGUUCGGAAUUACUGGGCGUAAAGGGCGCGUAGGCGGCUUUUUAAGUCAGACGUGAAAUCCCCCGGCUUAACCUGGGAACUGCGUCUGAUACUGGGAAGCUUGAGUUCGGGAGAGGGAUGUAGAAUUCCAGGUGUAGCGGUGAAAUGCGUAGAUAUCUGGAGGAACACCGGUGGCGAAGGCGGCAUCCUGGACCGACACUGACGCUGAGGCGCGAAAGCUAGGGUAGCAAACGGG